This 358-nucleotide unclassified non-coding RNA is filed under the name fungal sp. RNAcentral's name for it is "partial internal transcribed spacer region". The stretch from base 1 to 46 matches the Rfam family "Eukaryotic small subunit ribosomal RNA", at positions 1786 to 1831 of the family's 1831-position model. The record is from RNAcentral. Lineage: Eukaryota; Fungi.
AAGUCGUAACAAGGUUUCCGUAGGUGAACCUGCGGAAGGAUCAUUAUCAAAUAUAAUUAUCCAACGUAUGUUAACUAUUCUCUUUCGGGAGGAUUGUUAACAUAUAAACCAAUCUGUGAAACGUUUUGUUUUUACUUAUCUUGGAAAGGGUGUUUGGUCGUUUAUUCGAUCGAGCAGUUCUUUCCAUUAUGAGUAAAAUAUAUCUUAUUAACCAAUUGAACCCUAUUGUUAAGUCAUUUAAUCUCUAUUGUAUGAACUGAAUUGUUUCUUACUCUUUCGAAAGGAAGAGAAGGAAUUAAAAUUUACGAAACAAUAUAAAUUAAAAGAACAACUCUUAGCAACGGAUAUCUUGGUUCUC